ACCACUAUCCACCCUGCCGUAU
Molecule: microRNA, 22 nt
Filed under: Cordylochernes scorpioides
Lineage: Eukaryota; Metazoa; Arthropoda; Arachnida; Pseudoscorpiones; Chernetidae
Source: RNAcentral